This 429-nucleotide ribosomal RNA is filed under the name Triticum aestivum (bread wheat). RNAcentral's name for it is "partial small subunit ribosomal RNA". Lineage: Eukaryota; Viridiplantae; Streptophyta; Magnoliopsida; Poales; Poaceae. The record is from RNAcentral.
AUGCCGGGUGUUCCGACGAAAUUCGCCGAGCACAAGCUACACGUUCGGUCCGAUGCCAAGCCAGUCACGCAGCUCUUGUGCCGCCUGUCGGAGGAGAAGAGAAGAGUUGUUGGAGAAGAGAUAGCCCGGCUUCUAGCAGCCGGCUUCAUCAUGGAAGUAUUCUUUCCAGAGUGGUUAGCCAACCCGGUCCUAGUGUUGAAGAAGAACAAGCAGUGGCGCAUGUGUAUUGAUUAUACCAGCCUCAACAAAGCAUGCCCCAAAGACCCAUUUGCUCUGCCAAGAAUCGAUCAAGUGAUUGACUCCACAGCCGGAUGCGAGCUGUUGAGCUUUUUGGAUGCAUACUCAGGGUAUCACCAGAUCAAGCUGAGCACGGCCGACAGGCUGAAGACAGCCUUCAUCACUGUUGGAAAUAUGUGUUGGGGAACGUAG